Molecule: ribosomal RNA, 477 nt
Filed under: uncultured bacterium
Lineage: Bacteria
Description: partial 16S ribosomal RNA
Rfam family: Bacterial small subunit ribosomal RNA
Source: RNAcentral
AUUGAACGCUGGCGGCAUGCCAUACACAUGCAAGUCGAACGGUAACAGGUUAAGCUGACGAGUGGCGAGCGGGUGAGUAAUACAUCGGAACGUGCCCAGUAGUGGGGGAUAGCUCGGCGAAAGCCGGAUUAAUACCGCAUACGACCUAAGGGGGAAAGGGGGGGAUCGCAAGACCUCUCGCUAUUGGAGCGGCCGAUGUCAGAUUAGCUAGUUGGUGGGGUAAAAGCGCACCAAGGCGACGAUCUGUAGCUGGUCUGAGAGGACGACCAGCCACACUGGGACUGAGACACGGCCCAGACGCCUACGGGAGGCAGCAGUGGGGAAUUUUGGACAAUGGGCGCAAGCCUGAUCCAGCCAUGCCGCGUGCGGGACGAAGGCCUUCGGGUUGUAAACCGCUUUUGUCAGGGAAGAAAUCCUUUGGGUUAAUACCUCGGGGGGAUGACGGUACCUGAAGAAUAAGCACCGGCUAACUACGUG